AGGGAGAAAGACUGGACUGAAGUCCAGCUAUUGAAAUCAUCUCAAGACCACAAACCCAGAAGUACAACACCAGAAACAGACAAGGGAACUCAUUUGGGACAAAGACCGAACUCUGCAAAUCAAAGGACACCCCGGCAAGUGAAGACCCAUGUGGAGGAAAUAUACAUAAGACCUGACUCUCCGACUCUACCACGUGCCCACAGCUCCCUCUCCCAGUUCUCCC
Coregonus clupeaformis (lake whitefish) is the source of this 223-nucleotide long non-coding RNA. RefSeq lists it as uncharacterized. The transcript has 3 exons. Lineage: Eukaryota; Metazoa; Chordata; Actinopteri; Salmoniformes; Salmonidae. The record is from RefSeq and is a predicted model, not a curated record.